GACGGACGCUGGCGGCGUGCCUAAUACAUGAAGUCGAGCGAGACUCUUCGGAGUCUAGCGGCGGACGGGUGAGUAACACGUGGGCAACCUGCCUGUAAGACUGGGAUAACACCGGGAAACCGGUGCUAAUACCGGAUAAUCCUUUUCCUCUCAUGAGGAAAAGCUGAAAGCCGGUUUCGGCUGACACUUACAGAUGGGCCCGCGGCGCAUUAGCUAGUUGGUGAGGUAACGGCUCACCAAGGCGACGAUGCGUAGCCGACCUGAGAGGGUGAUCGGCCACACUGGGACUGAGAAACGGCCCAGACCCCUACGGGAGGCAGCAGUAGGGAAUCUUCCACAAUGGACGAAAGUCUGAUGGAGCAACGCCGCGUGAGCGAUGAAGGCCUUCGGGUCGUAAAGCUCUGUUGUUAGGGAAGAACAAGUACCGGAGUAACUGCCGGUACCUUGACGGUACCUAACCAGAAAGCCACGGCUAACUACGUGCCAGCAGCCGCCGUAA
RNAcentral lists this ribosomal RNA (499 nucleotides) under uncultured bacterium. Its description in RNAcentral is "partial 16S ribosomal RNA". It matches the Rfam family "Bacterial small subunit ribosomal RNA", at positions 28 to 523 of the family's 1533-position model. The record is from RNAcentral.